Long non-coding RNA from Colossoma macropomum (tambaqui), 5407 nucleotides. RefSeq lists it as uncharacterized. The record is from RefSeq and is a predicted model, not a curated record. The transcript has 4 exons. NCBI's taxonomy places the organism in Eukaryota, Metazoa, Chordata, Actinopteri, Characiformes, Serrasalmidae.
CAUUCUGUCGUUUACUGUGCCAUCUCGGGACAGCCUGUGUGGAAAGGUAAACACAGGAGGGAGUGUCUGUCCAGCCCAGGGCUUCAAUCGAGCCAACGGCGCCAUCUACAGGUUUUGAGGAGUAACUACACCCACUGACGGGCAUUUCAAGACGGCUUACAGUCCUGGGAGCUCCCACACGCUGCCCGUUAGUGGUCUUCCCUCAUCAAGCACAUCUGACUCAGCUCACUAACUAAUUAACAAGCUCAUCGUGUACUUGUCCAGGUGUGUUAAAUUAGGGAAAACACAAAACAUUUAACUGUGUUAGACGUACAUAUACUGCAUAUAUUUCCGUACUGCAAUAUGGGAAGAGUUUUUGACCUAGAUAUAAGUAAUUCUAAUUUGUUUCAGUAAUAGCUUAACUAUAUGUGAGGGAUAAUUCUUCCAUGCAGUAUAUUCUGAAGUACUGGUUAUGCUUUGCUGUCAGUGGGGAAAGACCCAAAUCUAGUUUAAACAUCCCAUUGAUUCACUUGUAUUUCCAAUUUGUAUUGUACUGUAAAGUUUUUUUUAUGUUAACAUUAAUUCUUUGUUUACUUUUUCACUUCACAUGUGCCUUCUCCAUUAUGUUGUAGGUACUGUUUAACAAUAUUUUACUGUUGUUCUUCAACAGAAUGCUGCCUGACUUCUGACUGUCGCUUUGUAAUGUCUGUGUGAGUUUGUGUUAGGUUGUUGGCAGAACCUUUCAGGGGUCGGUUAAGGCAAGGCCUGUUGCACAGUCCAUAUGGCUCUAUUCUGAAGGGGCCUCCGAGCUCUUUAUGGAAAUAUACAAGGAGAGAACAGAGUGUGAUCAUUAACAUUUGAAAGUAGGUGUGUGUGUGUGUGUGUGUGUGUGUGCGCGCGCAUGUAGUGUGUACAUGCGCCUGUGUGUCUUUCUGUUUUUCUCUGUGUGCACGCUGGUGAUUUACUGUCCCAUUAGGAUGGAGCACCCUCAGUAGCCGAGGGGGAUUCCCAAUUUGGUGAAGGUUAUGUGGUCAUUUGCAAGACACUGGGUAUGUGUGGGUGGGUGGGGUGGGGGUGUAGGGGAGAGGGGUCAGGGUGCCAGCAGCUGCUCACUACUGAUGGUGUUCCACUUCUGUUCUCUGUCCUCUACAUCCGCCUGAGGAGAAGCAGCAGGGAGAGCACCCAAACAGAGACGCCCUCUCGUGUCAGUCGGCUGAUGAGUGAGGAGACAUGGAAGUCAGAGAGGGAGAGAGAAAAAGAGAAAUACAGGAUGUUUUCUUUCAGAUUCUGUCAGUAUAAUUUUGCGAUAUGACACAUAGCACAAAUUACAUCACACAUUUGAAACAUAAGUGGUUCUUAGCUUGGACAUGCAAUCUUCACACACAGAAAACUUUAAUUUACAUAAUAUGGAUGUUCUUUAAACUUUAAAACAGCUUGCACAUUUCUUUUACAGAAAAAUGGUUCUGUAAAGAACUAUUAAUUGAAGGUUCUUUAGAGGACUAGAAGUGGUUCUUCUAUAGCAUCGCUUGAAAAAAAAUUUUGGUCAUUUUAUUUUAGAUUUGAAGUACUUUUAGCAUCUCUAAGCCUCAGGUAUUUGUGUGACAUCACUCUAUGAAAGGGUUCUCAAACUUUUCCAUGUCAGUUACUCCAUUACUGACCACUUACAAAAUGAAGACUACAGCGCAUAAAAAGUAAUGUUUUGAUGAUGCCAUAUCAUAAUUCGAUUUUUUAACACAAUUUGAAAACUCUAGCUGCUCUUUACAUUUGUGUAAACGUUUCAUGAUGAAUGGACCAAUAAAAUGGUCUAAAAUGAUUUCUUCCUACAAAAAAUUCACUAUGUUAACGUUCCUUAAGGUUAAGAAUUUUUUGUCCUUCUCCUGAAAAGUGAUCAUUUCAUUGAGGCAGAAGCGAUUUAUUUGUACAUUAAAGUACUGAUAUUACUCUUUAUGUCUCCCUUGAACUAUACAGAAAGCAAGGCCACAUAGCCUUGAAAAGGAGGCCAGUCUGAUAAAAUUCAUCUUCUGUCCAAAUUGAGAAUGAACCUUCAGCUUAUUGUAGAAUUAAUUUGUGGUUCUUUUUUAAGACCCUCAGUAAGUAUGAGAAUGCAUGAGAGUCCAUUUUAUUUUAUUUAUUUUUUUCUCAAGCAUUUUGAAUAUGGGAAAGAUAACUAAUAAUAAAAUAAUGAGUAAAAAAAAUGAUGAACGGCACUUUUUUAUGUGAAUAGAACAGGCAGCUGCUGGCACUUCAGUUGUACACGUAAAUAGCUAAAGAAACAUUUGUAAAAAGCUUUUUUAGCUUUUGUACGUGAUUGAGUCAAAUAAUUAAAUCUGUCAACUCCUUUUGAAGUUAAUGAAAAUGGGAGCCCAUUAAUACGCAUAUAUAUUUUAACUAAUUAUUAUAUUUGAAACAAACACUUCCAUUGUGGUACAUAUAUAGCACCAAAAAGAGUUAUUAUAACAAGCUUGACAUCAUAACAAUGGUAGAACCCUUUUUGGGUUUAUAUAGAACCCAUGGUUCUGAAUAGAACCAUUGCCUUUGCUAAAGGCUAAAAUGUGACACUGAUUUUAUACUUUAAGCUAUACGUAAUAGGAACACUUUGUGCUUUGGAAACAAGCAAUAUUGUAUCCAGGUUAGAGUACAACAAUGAAUACAUUGAAGAAAGGAACAACUUUGAGAAAUAUUGAUGUUGCAUUUUCAACAUUUGUCCAGAAGAGGGCUCCCUAACACAGUUUUAUUGCAUCCAUUGUGGAAGGAAAUCAUAUCCCAUACAACUGUGGAGUCAAAUAUCAGUUAUAUGUUUUAUUUAUGAGGUGUUAAUAGCUCACAAAAACAGAUGAAGUAUGCACUUUAAUUUGAUUUAAUGAACUGUUUCUAGUUUUUAAUGUGUCAGUAACUAUCUGCAUAUUGUUUAUUAAUAAAGCAUGGAGCGUGGCACUUAACCUCUAUUAUCACAAUAAAUUAUCCAAAAUAAAGGAUGGACAGUUAGUUGAACAGUGCUCUCAAGCUGAAAUGACUUUAGAUAUCAAAAGCUAAAUCCAUGAAUUCAGCAAAUUAUUCCACUGAUUCUCAAUCUCACAUUCAGAGGGGAGUGUGUCUUGAAAGGGGCCUCGAACAAAUCUUAAUCAAGAUCUUUAUCAGCAAAUUGGCCAUGGCAUGCUAAUUAAUGUGUUGUCAUUGCCAAGGAUGUCAGUGUCCAGAUGGUUGACUUGAGUGCAACAAUCAAAAAAUGUCUUCAACUGUGGAUUAGACAAUUGGAUGUCAUGUUGAAGAGUUAACAAGAUCACUAAAAUCACUCUUGUUUUAUAGUCGCUCUGUUUUUAAUUGUCUACAUCUAAAUAUACAGAAAUUCUGAGCUCAGACUUCUCAGGGUCAGAGUGCUUAUUUGGGUUCUUUAUUUACUUAAAAUGAUCUAAUGUAAGAUUCUGUGUACGUAUAUGAUGUGAUUAUAUGAGAUUAGGGAAGGAGUUGGAUUGAUACUAGAUCAGUACUUUUAUUUUGAGCCACUUGAUAUGUAUAGGUCUUGACUGAAUUUCAAAACAUGCAGGUGGAGACCUUUAUUCUACCCUUCAUAUAGUUACACUGCUUAAUGCCCAUUUUGUCAACAAAAGCAAAACAUGACAAACUAGACAAUUAUGUUCCUACCAAAAUGAUGUGCCUUUGAUAACUGGGAGGUGAACCAGAAUAAAACAUUCUCAGUUGAUUGCAUUCAAAAAAUGCCUAAGUACAUCAAACCACCCCAAUGGGUAACUGAGAGGCUGGCAUUUUGUUGAAAUGAAUGUAAUGUGAUGUUUUGACUAAAAACAAACUGAGGAUACUCUCUGAUGCUAAAUGCUAAUGAUACAUUUUUUUUCUAUGAACUUUACAGGACAAUUUUUUUAAUAAAAAUGGAAAGACAAUGUAAAUUACUACUUUUUUAUUGCACUUACUAUUAGUGUUCAAGAUUUUGUGAGAAGUAAAACCUUUUCUAUUUAUUAUUGUUUCAUCAGAUCUGGACUAAAAUAUUUCACAACAAAUUCACUACGUAUUAGAUAUUUUAAUUACAUUUUAAUGUAAUUUUAAUUAUGCUGUUCUUUAUACACAUGAAAAUUGAAAAUGAAAAAAAAGCAGUUUAAGAGCCUCUAUGGUGUCACAGCAUUAUAAAGUUCACAAUAGAAAAUUCAUGUGUCUCACCAACUACAUUUGUGAGUAGACUUUUUUCUGUAUGUGUUACCACAAAUGACACAUAUAUUUGGCGUUUCAUGUCUUUAAUAAAUGUUUUGUUUUAUUAUCUACAUGCACUUUAGAGAUGUGUAGUUCCCAGGAGCUGUGGCGGUUUUGGGGCAUUCAGUAAGUGUGGAUAUUGAGCGAAGGAUGAUGUGUGUUUCUGUGUGUGUGUAUUUGUGUUUUGAGUGUGUGUGUGUGUGUGUGUGUGUGUGUGUGUGCAUAUGUUCGGCGACAGCUGUGACCCAGAAAUAAGGCCGUUGUCUUGUCGCGGUGUGGCGAGUUGCCCACAGUCCAGAACGCUGUUCAUAUAGAGGAAUUUCAUUUGAGACAGUGAUUACAGCCCAAGAUCAAAAUACGAUAAGGUCUGUGGGAAAACAUUAUGCUGGAACUCUUGAAUGGAGUGCUCGGUGUGUGUUGUUUUAAAGGGAAUGCUGGGAUUUCGCUCUGAAUCCACACACAACAUUGACAGAUGCGGAGAUGGGAUCCCACUUGCAGGGAGACAAACUACAGCAUUGAUUCUGCACUCGGCAUUAGCUGACUGUAUUUGGAAAUAAGGCCCCUGGCACCCGACCGUUCACCAUUGGAUAACGGCAGGUCUGUGAGUAGGGGAAGACGCCUCCCCCCUCAAUUCCACCCUCGGCUCUGGGGCGACGGCGGAUAGCAGGGGGGCAACUAGAGCUGCUUUUUACCCCAGGAGGAGCUCCCCCCCACUGGCAUGCUGGCCCGCUCAGCCACCUCCCCGCUGACCAGGUGAAAGGGACGGCUCGCCAGGGACCUGGCUGCCUCGCAUUCCGCCACACGCCGAAUGGCUCUCUCACCGGGAACACAGGCUGAGUGCUGUGUUGAACACUACUAUUCAUGAACUACAAUAGUGUCGUCAUUGUCGGCAGUGAUAUUUGAAGGCUGAUUAUUAAAUCUAAAUUUAUGCAUGCAGAUUCAGGUUGGUGAAGGUGAAGUGAAAUAGAUUUUGCUUUGUCUGUCACCGUCAUGAUAGCAUUUGGAUUCAGACUCAAAAGUGCAGUACAGAGUAUUACUGACUUAUUAAUGUACCUGCAUGUGUUUAGUGAUAAUGGCUAUAUAUCGUUGCUAUUGGAAAAAAAAAGUGUCUCCAAAAUGGGAAUGUUAACUGUACUUUUAAUGUAAUUUAAAGUAAACAGAUCUUAUUAUAAGCAAUUUUGGAGCAUUUACAGUGGUUCAUUCAUCGUGAAUUUUUACACAAUAAAAA